AAAAAAUAAAAUCUUUCAAGGCUUUCACAUUCAACAACAUAACAAAUCUUUAAUGUACUACUACAUCGAAGCCUUAGAGAGUCGUUGGACUCCAGACAAGCCGUUAUGAAGCGUCAUCAGCUCAGGUGAGACGAUCCAAAAGGACCAGACAUAAACCACCUGCUAAGAAAAGGGUAAAUAAGACAAGCGAUUAAACUGGCAAGUCAGGGAUACAAGAUGGAUUUUUUCAGGGUGUGUAAACUUCCUUAUAUAUUCUGCCACAUGUGUCGGUGUGAAAGGAUUUUAUGGUCUCGAUCAUUCUUCAAUGAAAUAUUCCAAUUUCCACUAUAGAAACGACAAUCUAUUAUAAUA
Solanum pennellii is the source of this 351-nucleotide long non-coding RNA. RefSeq lists it as uncharacterized. The transcript has 2 exons. The record is from RefSeq and is a predicted model, not a curated record. Lineage: Eukaryota; Viridiplantae; Streptophyta; Magnoliopsida; Solanales; Solanaceae.